RNAcentral lists this ribosomal RNA (253 nucleotides) under uncultured bacterium. Its description in RNAcentral is "partial 16S ribosomal RNA". It matches the Rfam family "Bacterial small subunit ribosomal RNA", at positions 524 to 776 of the family's 1533-position model. The record is from RNAcentral.
UACGAAGGGUGCUAGCGUUGUUCGGAAUCACUGGGCGUAAAGCGCGCGUAGGCGGCUUUGCAAGUCAGAGGUGAAAUCCUGAGGCUUAACCUCAGAAUUGCCUUUGAAACUGCAAAGCUGGAGUGUUGGAGGGGUUGGCGGAAUUCCGAAUGUAGAGGUGAAAUUCGUAGAUAUUCGGAGGAACACCGGUGGCGAAGGCGGCCAACUGGACAACAACUGACGCUGAGGCGCGAAAGCGUGGGGAUCAAACAGG